This 253-nucleotide ribosomal RNA is filed under the name uncultured bacterium. RNAcentral's name for it is "partial 16S ribosomal RNA". It matches the Rfam family "Bacterial small subunit ribosomal RNA", at positions 524 to 776 of the family's 1533-position model. The record is from RNAcentral.
UACAGAGGUCUCAAGCGUUGUUCGGAUUUAUUGGGCGUAAAGGGUGUGUAGGCGGCGCCGUAAGUCAGGUGUGAAAUUUCGGAGCUUAACUCCGAAACUGCAUUUGAUACUGCGGUGCUUGAGGACUGGAGAGGAGACUGGAAUUCAUGGUGUAGCAGUGAAAUGCGUAGAGAUCAUGAGGAAGACCAGUGGCGAAGGCGGGUCUCUGGACAGUUCCUGACACUGAGACACGAAGGCCAGGGGAGCAAACGGG